Molecule: ribosomal RNA, 253 nt
Filed under: uncultured bacterium
Lineage: Bacteria
Description: partial 16S ribosomal RNA
Rfam family: Bacterial small subunit ribosomal RNA
Source: RNAcentral
UACGUAGGUGGCAAGCGUUGUCCGGAAUUAUUGGGCGUAAAGCGCGCGCAGGCGGUCCUUUAAGUCUGAUGUGAAAGCCCACGGCUCAACCGUGGAGGGUCAUUGGAAACUGGGGGACUUGAGUGCAGAAGAGGAGAGUGGAAUUCCACGUGUAGCGGUGAAAUGCGUAGAGAUGUGGAGGAACACCAGUGGCGAAGGCGACUCUCUGGUCUGUAACUGACGCUGAGGCGCGAAAGCGUGGGGAGCAAAAGGG